This 465-nucleotide ribosomal RNA is filed under the name Vreelandella stevensii. RNAcentral's name for it is "partial 16S ribosomal RNA". It matches the Rfam family "Bacterial small subunit ribosomal RNA", at positions 338 to 795 of the family's 1533-position model. The record is from RNAcentral. Lineage: Bacteria; Pseudomonadati; Pseudomonadota; Gammaproteobacteria; Oceanospirillales; Halomonadaceae.
CCUACGGGUGGCAGCAGUGGGGAAUAUUGGACAAUGGGCGAAAGCCUGAUCCAGCCAUGCCGCGUGUGUGAAGAAGGCCUUCGGGUUGUAAAGCACUUUCAGUGGGGAAGAAAGCCUUGGGGCUAAUACCCUCGAGGAAGGACAUCACCCACAGAAGAAGCACCGGCUAACUCCGUGCCAGCAGCCGCGGUAAUACGGGGGGUGCGAGCGUUAAUCGGAAUUACUGGGCGUAAAGCGCGCGUAGGCGGUCUGAUAAGCCGGUUGGGAAAGCCCCGGGCUCAACCUGGGAACGGCAUCCGGAACUGUCAGGCUAGAGUGCAGGAGAGGAAGGUAGAAUUCCCGGUGUAGCGGUGAAAUGCGUAGAGAUCGGGAGGAAUACCAGUGGCGAAGGCGGCCUUCUGGACUGACACUGACGCUGAGGUGCGAAAGCGUGGGUAGCAAACAGGAUUAGAUACCCCAGUAGUC